AUCUUCCGCAAUGGACGAAAGUCUGACGGAGCGACGCCGCGUGAGUGAUGAAGGUUUUCGGCUCGUAAAACUCUGUUGUUAGGGAAGAACAAGUAUCGAUCGUAUAAGUUGGUACCUUGACGGUACCUAAUCAGAAAGCACCGGCUACUUACUUGCCAGCAGCCGCGGUAAUACGUAGGGGGCGAGCGUUGUCCGGAAUUAUUGGGCGUAAAGGGCGCGCAGGCGGUCUUCUAAGUCUGAUGUGAAAGCUCGUAGCUUAACUACGGGCGGUCAUUGGAAACUGGGAGACUUAAGGAAAGAAGAGGAGAGUGGAAUUCCACGUGUAGCGGUGAAAGGCGUAAAGAUAUGGAGGAACACCAGUGGCGAAGGCGACCCUCUGGUCUGUAACUGACGCUGAGGCGCGAAAGCGUGGGGAGCAAACA
This 422-nucleotide ribosomal RNA is filed under the name uncultured bacterium. Its description in RNAcentral is "partial 16S ribosomal RNA". It matches the Rfam family "Bacterial small subunit ribosomal RNA", at positions 361 to 774 of the family's 1533-position model. The record is from RNAcentral.